This 496-nucleotide ribosomal RNA is filed under the name uncultured bacterium. RNAcentral's name for it is "bacterial SSU rRNA". It matches the Rfam family "Bacterial small subunit ribosomal RNA", at positions 30 to 521 of the family's 1533-position model. The record is from RNAcentral.
AUUGAACGCUGGCGGAAUGCUUUACACAUGCAAGUCGAACGGUAGAGGGGGCAACCCCUUGAGAGUGGCGAACGGGUGAGUAAUAUAUCGGAACGUGCCCAGUCGUGGGGAUAACGUAGCGAAAGUUACGCUAAUACCGCAUACGAUCUAAGGAUGAAAGCGGGGGACUCGCAAGAGCCUCGCGCGAUUGGAGCGGCCGAUAUCAGAUUAGGUAGUUGGUGGGGUAAAGGCUCACCAAGCCAACGAUCUGUAGCUGGUCUGAGAGGACGACCAGCCACACUGGAACUGAGACACGGUCCAGACUCCUACGGGAGGCAGUAGUGGGGGAAUUUUGGACAAUGGACGCAAGUCUGAUCCAGCCAUUCCGCGUGCAGGAUGAAGGCCCUCGGGUUGUAAACUGCUUUUGUACGGAACGAAAAGGUUUCUAUUAAUACUAGGAGCUCAUGACGGUACCGUAAGAAUAAGCACCGGCUAACUACGUGCCAGCAGCCGCGGU